This 373-nucleotide ribosomal RNA is filed under the name uncultured bacterium. RNAcentral describes it as "bacterial SSU rRNA". It matches the Rfam family "Bacterial small subunit ribosomal RNA", at positions 28 to 402 of the family's 1533-position model. The record is from RNAcentral.
GACGAACGCUGGCGGCGUGCUUAACACAUGCAAGUCGAGCGGUAAGGCCCUUUCGGGGGUACACGAGCGGCGAACGGGUGAGUAACACGUGGGUGACCUGCCCUCAGCUCUGGGAUAAGCCUGGGAAACCGGGUCUAAUACUGGAUAUGACUCCAUGACGCAUGUUGUGGGGUGGAAAGCCUUGUGCGGCUGAGGAUGGGCCCGCGGCCUAUCAGCUUGUUGGUGGGGUGAUGGCCUACCAAGGCGACGACGGGUAGCCGGCCUGAGAGGGCGAUCGGUCACACCGGAACUGAGACACGGUCCGGACUCCUACGGGAGGCAGCAGUGGGGAAUCUUGCGCAAUGGGCGAAAGCCUGACGCAGCAACGCCGCGU